CCUACGGGAGGCUGCAGUAACGAAUCUUCCGCAAUGGGGGCAACCCUGACGGAGCGACGCCGCGUGCGGGACGAAGUCCUUCGGGAUGUAAACCGCUUUUAGGGGAAACCGCGUCCAGAAUAAGCCACGGCUAACUCUGUGCCAGCAGCCGCGGUAAUACAGAGGUGGCAAGCGUUGCUCGGAAUCACUGGGCUUAAAGGGCAUGUAGGCGGGCGAGUAAGCGCCUUGUGAAAUCCCCCGGCUCAACCGGGGAACCGCUUGGCGAACUGCUCGUCUCGAGGGAGACAGGGGCGACCGGAACUCUGGGUGGAGCGGUGAAAUGCGUAGAUAUCCAGGGGAACGCCGGUGGAGAAAUCGGGUCGCUGGUCUUCCUGACGCUGAGGUGCGAAAGCCAGGGGAGCGAACGGGAUUAGAUACCCUUGUAGUC
This 427-nucleotide ribosomal RNA is filed under the name uncultured bacterium. RNAcentral describes it as "partial 16S ribosomal RNA". It matches the Rfam family "Bacterial small subunit ribosomal RNA", at positions 338 to 795 of the family's 1533-position model. The record is from RNAcentral.